This 501-nucleotide ribosomal RNA is filed under the name uncultured bacterium. RNAcentral's name for it is "partial 16S ribosomal RNA". It matches the Rfam family "Bacterial small subunit ribosomal RNA", at positions 30 to 523 of the family's 1533-position model. The record is from RNAcentral.
AUUGAACGCUGGCGGCAUGCCUUACACAUGCAAGUCGAACGGCAGCACGGGUGCUUGCACCUGGUGGCGAGUGGCGAACGGGUGAGUAAUACAUCGGAACGUACCUUAUCGUGGGGGAUAACGCAGCGAAAGUUGCGCUAAUACCGCAUACGCCCUGAGGGGGAAAGCGGGGGACCGUAAGGCCUCGCGCGAUUAGAGCGGCCGAUGUCUGAUUAGCUUGUUGGUGAGGUAAAAACUCACCAAGGCGAUGAUCAGUAGCUGGUCUGAGAGGACGAUCAGCCACACUGGGACUGAGACACGGCCCAGACUCCUACGGGAGGCAGCAGUGGGGAAUUUUGGACGAUGGGGGCAACCCUGAUCCAGCAAUGCCGCGUGAGUGAAGAAGGCCUUCGGGUUGUAAAGCUCUUUUGUCAGGGAAGAAACAGCAGCUCUAACACAGUCUGCGAAUGACGGUACCUGAAGAAUAAGCACCGGCUAACUACGUGCCAGCCGCCGCAGUAA